AACGAACGCUGGCGGCGCGCUUAACACAUGCAAGUCGAACGAGAAGGCGUAGCAAUACGCUUGUACAGUGGCGAACGGGUGAGUAAUACGUGGGCGACCUACCCUCGAGUGGGGAAUAACCCGCCGAAAGGCGGGCGUAAUGCCGCGUACGCUUCCAUCUUUAUAGGAGGGUGGAAGGAAAGCCGUGCCGUGGGCACGGCGCUCAAGGAUGGGCUCACGUCCUAUCAGCUUGGGUUUGGGUAACGGCCUACCAAAGGCUCCGACGGGUA
This 269-nucleotide ribosomal RNA is filed under the name uncultured bacterium. Its description in RNAcentral is "partial 16S ribosomal RNA". It matches the Rfam family "Bacterial small subunit ribosomal RNA", at positions 29 to 285 of the family's 1533-position model. The record is from RNAcentral.